Molecule: ribosomal RNA, 462 nt
Filed under: uncultured bacterium
Lineage: Bacteria
Description: bacterial SSU rRNA
Rfam family: Bacterial small subunit ribosomal RNA
Source: RNAcentral
CAAGCGGUGGAUGAUGUGGAUCAAUUCGAUGCAACGCGAAGAACCUUACCUACCCUUGACAUGCCAGGGAGCCCGAUGAGAGUUGGGUGUGCCCGAAAGGGAGCCUGGACACAGGUGCUGCAUGGCUGUCGUCAGCUCGUGUCGUGAGAUGUUGGGUUAAGUCCCGCAACGAGCGCAACCCUUGUCACUAGUUGCUACGCAAGGGCACUCUAGUGAGACUGCCGGUGACAAACCGGAGGAAGGUGGGGAUGACGUCAAGUCCUCAUGGCCCUUAUGGGUAGGGCUUCACACGUCAUACAAUGGCGCAUACAAAGGGCUGCCAACCCGCGAGGGGGAGCCAAUCCCAGAAAGUGCGUCGUAGUCCGGAUUGCAGUCUGCAACUCGACUGCAUGAAGUCGGAAUCGCUAGUAAUCGCGGAUCAGCAAUGUCGCGGUGAAUACGUUCCCGGGUCUUGUACACACC